AGUGAACGCUGGCGGUAUGCCUAACACAUGCAAGUCGAACGGGAGCAGAGUACGAGCUUGCUCUUACGGGAGACGAGUCUCCGACGGGUGGGGGAUACAUCGGAAUCUACUUUAUCUUGGGGGUACACGUAGGGAAAAUUACGCUACUACCGCUUACGACGUACAAGUGAAAGGAGGGGCACUUCGGGGCUUGAGCGACUGAAUGAGCCGAUGUCGGAUUAGCUAGUUGGCGGGGUAAAGGCGCAACAAGGCGACGAUCCGUAGACGGUCUGAGAGGAUGAUCAGCCAGACUGGAAGAGAGACACGGCCCACACUCCUGCGGUAGGCAGCAGUGCGGAAUAUUGGAGGAUGGAGCAGAGCCGGAUCCAGCCAUACCGCGUGGGUGAAGAAGGAGCUAGGGUUGGAAAGUCCUGUUGUUUGGAAAUAAAAGCAGCAGUUUCAUACCCCGCUGUUAUGACGGUACCCAAAGAAUAAGCACCGGCUAACUUCGUG
Molecule: ribosomal RNA, 492 nt
Filed under: uncultured bacterium
Lineage: Bacteria
Description: partial 16S ribosomal RNA
Rfam family: Bacterial small subunit ribosomal RNA
Source: RNAcentral